GCUUGUCUCAAAGAUUAAGCCAUGCAUGUCUAAGUAUAAAUAGUAUACAGUGAAACUGCGAAUGGCUCAUUAAAACAGUUAUAGUUUAUUUGAUAAUUGAAAAUUACAUGGAUAACCGUGGUAAUUCUAGAGCUAAUACAUGCUGGCGUGCCCGACUUUUGUGGAAGGGCGGUAUUUAUUAGAUAACAAGCCAAUAUUCCUCACGGUCUAUUGUGGUGACUCAUAAUAACUGAUCGAAUCGCAAGGCCCUUGGCCGCGAUAAGUCAUUCAAGUUUCUGCCCCAUCAGCUUUCGAUGGUAGUGUAUUGGACUACCAUGGCGUUCACGGGUAACGGAGAAUUAGGGUUCGAUUCCGGAGAGGGAGCCUGAGAAACGGCUACCACAUCCAAGGAAGGCAGCAGG
Molecule: ribosomal RNA, 401 nt
Filed under: uncultured Strombidiidae
Lineage: Eukaryota; Ciliophora; Spirotrichea; Strombidiidae
Description: partial small subunit ribosomal RNA
Rfam family: Eukaryotic small subunit ribosomal RNA
Source: RNAcentral